Molecule: ribosomal RNA, 253 nt
Filed under: uncultured bacterium
Lineage: Bacteria
Description: partial 16S ribosomal RNA
Rfam family: Bacterial small subunit ribosomal RNA
Source: RNAcentral
UACGUAGGGGGCAAGCGUUGUCCGGAAUCAUUGGGCGUAAAGCGCGUGUAGGCGGUUCGGUAGGUCCGUUGUGAAAACUCGAGGCUCAACCUCGAGACGCCGAUGGAAACCCCCGAACUAGAGUCCGGAAGAGGAGAGUGGAAUUCCUGGUGUAGCGGUGAAAUGCGCAGAUAUCAGGAAGAACACCCGUGGCUAAGGCGGCUCUCUAGUACGGUACUGACGCUGAGACGCGAAAGCGUGGGGAGCGAACAGG